CGGAUAUAUCACGUUGAAACACUGGUCCUGAUCUGAUCAUCAAAGUUAAGCAAUGUUGAGUCUGAUCAGUACCUUAGAUGGGUGACCACUUGGGAAUAUCAGGUGCUAUA
This is a non-coding RNA of Acanthosepion pharaonis, 110 nucleotides long. NCBI's taxonomy places the organism in Eukaryota, Metazoa, Mollusca, Cephalopoda, Sepiida, Sepiidae. The record is from the annotation of a GenBank genome assembly.